This is a long non-coding RNA of Limulus polyphemus (Atlantic horseshoe crab), 1236 nucleotides long. RefSeq lists it as uncharacterized. The transcript has 3 exons. NCBI's taxonomy places the organism in Eukaryota, Metazoa, Arthropoda, Merostomata, Xiphosura, Limulidae. The record is from RefSeq and is a predicted model, not a curated record.
UAUGAGAAUAUUACUGAUUUACAGUUAUGAACAUCAGAGAGCAAAGCUUCUUCUCAUUCAAGCUAAACUAUUAAGAAAAACAGGAAAGGAUCCUCUGGAAGCUUUCCCUAACCAUCAUCACCACAGAUACUCUGCCUCCCCAUUUUUCCGUCAGAAGUCAUUGUCCAAAGCCAGCUCAGUGCCCAAGAAUCUUCUACUACUGCAGUAAAGUCAAGUGUAUUUAUCUGUAUAUUAUUGUGAGCAAACAAAGAUAUUGAAUAUGGAAUUUUUUACAAUAUUUAUUUGAAGUAUUCUGCAACUCGAACGUAUAAUCUAUGUCUUCUCUGUACUUUCGUUUUAUUUAUUUACCUUGAUAAUCAAAACCUGCUAAGUGCCUUUUCUGUUAUGUCAACUGUAAGAUCAUAAAUUAGUAAUAACUCAGUUGAUGGUUUUACAGUGAAGAAUAAGUAAAUCCAGAUGUUCUUGUUUAACAUUAUUGUGUGUUAGUGAAGUAUAACUAUUGUAAUUAUAAUUGGUGUUUCAUAUUAUACAUGGUUUAUUUUUGAGGUGCCUUUAGUCAAUGACUUAUUGAAAUAUAGUGUACCUAUUAUUCACAUAAUUAUAAACUCUCUUCACCCUUUGAAAUGACAGAUAUUUUUUUAAGUAUAUUUUGAAAAAAAGAUUGUGUUUUUCUAAACUUUGUUCCUAAGAGGUGCUAAAUGUCAUACGGUUAAAACUUUCAUACAUUACUUUUGUAAAGAUUAACAUAUUUUGACUUGUGGGUUAGAGAUUUUAAGUAGUUUCUUUUGAACAGGUAUUGAGAAGUAUUUUUUGUCAAUAAGUAAGAUUUUGAAGAAGUUUUCCUGUUACAAAAUAUAAUCAACAGAGAAGUGCUUUAUGUUAAAAGUAAUUUAAUGAUCUAGUAUAAAUUUAAAAGAUUAUUUUCACUUUUGUUUUACAGAAUUUUUUUUUACUUUCAUUACUCCAUUUUGCUAUAAUUUUUGGUGUAAUGGUUACUUUUAAAACCAAAAAGUGAAACCUAAGUAUUACAUACUUACUCUAACAUGUUAAAUUGUUUUGAACAAAUUUCAUUUUGUAAGACUAAGAAAUGAUUUCCAAGAGUCUUUGUUUAACCUAAGUUUAAUAUUCGUAUAGAUAACACCGAGAACUGUCAUCCACUAAUAUUGUUUGUAAAACAGGAUGCAUUAAAUAUUAAUGAAAUGUGUAAAUUUGAAAAUAAAUUAUGAUGUAAUAUAA